GACGAACGCUGGCGGCGUACUUAACACAUGCAAGUCGAACGGUAAGGCCCUUCGGGGUACACGAGUGGCGAACGGGUGAGUAACACGUGGGUGAUCUGCCCUGCACUUCGGGAUAAGCCUGGGAAACUGGGUCUAAUACCGGAUAGGACUCCGGACUGCAUGGUCUGGGGUGGAAAGCUUUUGCGGUGUGGGAUGGGCCCGCGGCCUAUCAGCUUGUUGGUGGGGUGAUGGCCUACCAAGGGGACGACGGGUAGCCGGCCUGGGAGGGUGACCGGCCACACUGGGACUGAGAUACGGCCCAGACUCCUACGGGAGGCAGCAGUGGGGAAUAUUGCACAAUGGGCGCAAGCCUGAUGCAGCGACGCCGCGUGAGGGAUGACGGCCUUCGGGUUGUAAACCUCUUUCAGCAUCGACGAAGCGAAAGUGACGGUAGGUGCAGAAGAAGGACCGGCCAACUACGUGCCAGCCGCCGCCGUAA
RNAcentral lists this ribosomal RNA (478 nucleotides) under uncultured bacterium. RNAcentral's name for it is "partial 16S ribosomal RNA". It matches the Rfam family "Bacterial small subunit ribosomal RNA", at positions 28 to 523 of the family's 1533-position model. The record is from RNAcentral.